GUGAGGAAUAUUGGACAAUGGGCGCAAGCCUGAUCCAGCCAUGCCGCGUGCAGGAAGACGCAUCUAUGGUGUGUAAACUGCUUUUGUACGGGAAGAAACACUCCCUCGUGAGGGAGCUUGACGGUACCGUAAGAAUAAGGAUCGGCUAACUCCGUGCCAGCAGCCGCGGUAAUACGGAGGAUCCAAGCGUUAUCCGGACUCCUUGGGUUUAAAGGGUCCGUAGUCGGUUUAAUAAGUCAGUGGUGAAAGCCCAUCGCUCAACGAUGGAACAGCCAUUGAUACUGUUAGACUUGAAUUACAAAGAAGUAACUAGAAUAUGUAGUGUAGCGGUGAAAUGCUUAGAUAUUACAUGGAAUACCAAUUGCGAAGGCAGGUUACUACUUGUGGAUUGACGCUGAUGGACGAAAGCGUGGGGAGCGAACAGGAUUAGAAACCCGGGUAGUCC
Molecule: ribosomal RNA, 445 nt
Filed under: uncultured bacterium
Lineage: Bacteria
Description: partial 16S ribosomal RNA
Rfam family: Bacterial small subunit ribosomal RNA
Source: RNAcentral